This is a microRNA precursor of Oryza sativa Japonica Group (Japanese rice), 200 nucleotides long. It matches the Rfam family "MIR1435 microRNA precursor family". NCBI's taxonomy places the organism in Eukaryota, Viridiplantae, Streptophyta, Magnoliopsida, Poales, Poaceae. The record is from Rfam.
UGACUUUGGUCAAAGUCAAUCUACUUUAAGUUUGACCAAGUUUUAGAAAAAAGGUAGUAACAUUUUCAAUCCAAGAUAAAUAUAUUAUGAAAAUGUAUUCAAUUAUCGAUUAAAUGAAACUAAUUUUGUGCUGUAAAUAUUACUAUAUUUGUCUACAAACUUAAUCAAACUUGAAUUAGUUUGACUUUGAUCAAAGUCAA